GGUCGCUUAGCUCAGCUGGUUAGAGCACUGCAUUCACAUUGCAGGGGUCAGUGGUUCAAAUCCACUAGCGACCA
Molecule: transfer RNA, 74 nt
Filed under: bacterium
Lineage: Bacteria
Description: tRNA-Val
Rfam family: tRNA
About the family: Transfer RNA (tRNA) molecules are approximately 80 nucleotides in length.
Source: RNAcentral